Molecule: ribosomal RNA, 41 nt
Filed under: uncultured fungus
Lineage: Eukaryota; Fungi
Description: partial 5.8S ribosomal RNA
Source: RNAcentral
CAACUUUCAACAACGGAUCUCUUGGCUCUCGCAUCGAUGAA